UGGCCGCGGAGGACCCCACGUGUUCCCAGAAGAGGCACAGACUCACCGCCUCACUGGGCCCAGCAGACGCACCGGACCUCGGAGCCCUGUGCCGGGGCAGAAGGGGCAAGCUGGAAGGGGAAGCCCCGAGGCCGGGUGUCCCCUCCCCCUCAGGAAGAAGCCGGACACGCCCCAUCCCCCCCACGCCGCCCCAUCCCCCACCCGCCCUGAGACUCCAGCCCCGGGCUAAGCCAGGUCGGGCGUUGGAGCGUCCUUUCCUCCUGCCUCUUCCCCGUGAUCCGUCAGGACCUCACCACCAGCAGGGCGCCAACUGGGACUAGCAGGCCCAUUUUGCAGCAUCCAGCCCGGAGCCCAGAUGGAGAAAAGACAACAGUGGACACCGUUCUGCCAGAGGAGGAGACCCUGCGAGGCGGGGAUCUGAGCCGGACCCCAGGAUAGGGGCCUUCCAGGCUGAGGAUUAAGCAUCUUUCCUUAGGCUAGGAACUGAUUGCUGCGCUCACCUGUGACCACCCAGCUCCAGACAAUAAACUUGCCUCCUGCCACGCCCUCCGAGAUAGCAGACCCACUACCUGUGGUGUCCAUCAAGCGCUGUUUGGGGGUAUAUAAUCACUCUGUGCACCCCACUUCUUCGGCGCCCUUUCUUCCUUCGGGAAGAAAGACCCCAGGCCAUGGUCCUCAUAAAGCUUUGUUUAAUUUUCUCUUGC
This 704-nucleotide long non-coding RNA is filed under the name Equus asinus (donkey). Its description in RNAcentral is "lncRNA (ENSEASG00005023807.1)". The record is from RNAcentral. Lineage: Eukaryota; Metazoa; Chordata; Mammalia; Perissodactyla; Equidae.